This 89-nucleotide microRNA precursor is filed under the name Chlorocebus sabaeus (green monkey). Its description in RNAcentral is "miRNA (ENSCSAG00000025483.1)". The record is from RNAcentral. Lineage: Eukaryota; Metazoa; Chordata; Mammalia; Primates; Cercopithecidae.
GUAUUAGGUUGGUGCAAAAGUAAUUGCGUUUUUGCCAUCACUUUUAAGUGGCAAAAACUGCAAUUACUUUUGCACCAACCUAAUAAAUU